GGAUUAGAUACCCUGGUAGUCCACGCCGUAAACGAUGAUAACUAGCUGUCCGGGGACUUGGUCUUUGGGUGGCGCAGCUAACGCAUUAAGUUAUCCGCCUGGGGAGUACGGUCGCAAGAUUAAAACUCAAAGGAAUUGACGGGGGCCUGCACAAGCGGUGGAGCAUGUGGUUUAAUUCGAAGCAACGCGCAGAACCUUACCAGCGUUUGACAUGUCCGGACGACUUCGAGAGAUCGAUUUCUUCCCUUCGGGGACUGGAACACAGGUGCUGCAUGGCUGUCGUCAGCUCGUGCCG
Molecule: ribosomal RNA, 295 nt
Filed under: uncultured bacterium
Lineage: Bacteria
Description: partial 16S ribosomal RNA
Rfam family: Bacterial small subunit ribosomal RNA
Source: RNAcentral